GUGCCAGCAGCCGCGGUAAUACAGAGGUGGCAAGCGUUGUUCGGAAUUAUUGGGCGUAAAGAGCACGUAGGUGGAUUUGUUAGUCAGAUGUGAAAGCCUUCUGUUCAACGGGAGAAUAGCAUCUGAAACUACAAACCUUGAGUAUAGGAGGGGAGAGUGGAACUUCUGGUGGAGCGGUGAAAUGCGUAGAUAUCAGAAGGAACGCCGGCGGCGAAAGCGACUCUCUGGCCUAUAACUGACACUGAGUGUGCGAAAGCUAGGGGAGCAAACGGGAUUAGAUACCCCGGUAGUCCUAGCCGUAAACGAUGGGCACUAAGUAGGGGAAACUACCGAUGUUUUCUCUGCCGUAGCAAAUGCAUUAAGUGCCCCGCCUGGGGAGUACGGCCGCAAGGCUAAAACUCAAAUGAAUUGGCGG
RNAcentral lists this ribosomal RNA (415 nucleotides) under uncultured bacterium. Its description in RNAcentral is "bacterial SSU rRNA". It matches the Rfam family "Bacterial small subunit ribosomal RNA", at positions 505 to 916 of the family's 1533-position model. The record is from RNAcentral.